Molecule: transfer RNA, 88 nt
Filed under: Candidatus Cloacimonadota bacterium
Lineage: Bacteria; Pseudomonadati; Candidatus Cloacimonadota
Description: tRNA-Leu
Rfam family: tRNA
About the family: Transfer RNA (tRNA) molecules are approximately 80 nucleotides in length. Their secondary structure includes four short double-helical elements and three loops (D, anti-codon, and T loops). Further hydrogen bonds mediate the characteristic L-shaped molecular structure. tRNAs have two regions of fundamental functional importance: the anti-codon, which is responsible for specific mRNA codon recognition, and the 3' end, to which the tRNAs corresponding amino acid is attached (by aminoacyl-tRNA synthetases). tRNAs cope with the degeneracy of the genetic code in two manners: having more than one tRNA (with a specific anti-codon) for a particular amino acid; and 'wobble' base-pairing, i.e. permitting non-standard base-pairing at the 3rd anti-codon position.
Source: RNAcentral
GCGGUGGUGGCAGAGAGGCCGAAUGCGACGGCCUUAAGAGCCGUUUGUCCUGCUACGGGCGUCGUGGGUUCGAAUCCCACCCACCGCA